UGCAUCGGCCAGGAAUCGAACCCGGGCCGCCCGCGUGGCAGGCGAGCAUUCUACCACUAAACCACCGAUGG
Molecule: transfer RNA, 71 nt
Filed under: Cordylochernes scorpioides
Lineage: Eukaryota; Metazoa; Arthropoda; Arachnida; Pseudoscorpiones; Chernetidae
Description: tRNA-Gly
Source: RNAcentral